This 237-nucleotide long non-coding RNA is filed under the name Homo sapiens (human). RNAcentral describes it as "non-protein coding lnc-TBC1D10C-2:1". Lineage: Eukaryota; Metazoa; Chordata; Mammalia; Primates; Hominidae. The record is from RNAcentral.
AGAGCCGCUGGCUCACCACCAAGGAGAUACCUGCUCCCAAAGUUUCUAUUUUUUGUGUCCCCUGACACUGGCCCUGUCUCCAUGCUAGGCUUCUUUGUUCAUGGCCUCCCUGAGUUUUUCCAAUAAGGAUAUCAUUUGUAUGCAGGUGACAGUUGAAGCAGUGGCGGUGGUGAGCUCUCCAAUGGAGAGGCGUAGAAAAAGGAGGAGGAGGAGACGCACAAGACGCUCAGGAAGGAC